This 88-nucleotide transfer RNA is filed under the name Commensalibacter papalotli (ex Servin-Garciduenas et al. 2014). It matches the Rfam family "tRNA". From Rfam's summary of the family: Transfer RNA (tRNA) molecules are approximately 80 nucleotides in length. Their secondary structure includes four short double-helical elements and three loops (D, anti-codon, and T loops). Lineage: Bacteria; Pseudomonadati; Pseudomonadota; Alphaproteobacteria; Acetobacterales; Acetobacteraceae. The record is from Rfam by way of RNAcentral.
GGAGGGGUGGCCGAGUGGUUGAAGGCAGCGGUCUUGAAAACCGCCGUGCGUUAAUAGCGUACCGUGGGUUCGAAUCCCACCCCCUCCG